CACGUAGGGGGGGAGCGUUGUCCGGAUUUAUUGGGCGUAAAGAGCUCGUAGGCGGUUCGGCAAGUCGGGGGUGAAAUUUCGAGGCUCAACCUCGAAACGCCACUCGAUACUGCUGUGACUGGAGUCCGGUAGAGGAGUGCGGAAUUCCUGGUGUAGCGGUCAAAUGCGCAGAUAUCAGGAGGAACACCAGUGGCGAAGGCGGUGCUCUGGGCCGGAACUGACGCUGAGGAGCGAAAGCUUGGGGAGCAAACAGG
This 254-nucleotide ribosomal RNA is filed under the name uncultured bacterium. Its description in RNAcentral is "partial 16S ribosomal RNA". It matches the Rfam family "Bacterial small subunit ribosomal RNA", at positions 524 to 776 of the family's 1533-position model. The record is from RNAcentral.